GUAUCCGUGGCGUACAGGACGAACGGCUGGCGGCGUGCUUAACGCAUGCAAGUCGAACGGAGCACCCUGAAGGAGUUUUCGGACAACGGAUGGGAAUGCUUAGUGGCGGACUGGUGAGUAACGCGUGAGGAACCUGCCUUCCAGAGGGGGACAACAGUUGGAAACGACUGCUAUACCGCAUGAUGCAUUGAAGUCGCAUGGCUUUGAUGUCAAAGAUUUAUCGCUGGAAGAUGGCCUCGCGUCUGAUUAGCUAGUUGGUGAGGUAACGGCCCACCAAGGCGACGAUCAGUAGCCGGACUGAGAGGUUGGCCGGCCACAUUGGGACUGAGAUACGGCCCAGACUCCUACGGGAGGCAGCAGUGGGGAAUAUUGGGCAAUGGACGCAAGUCUGACCCAGCAACGCCGCGUGAAGGAAGAAGGCUUUCGGGUUGUAAACUUCCUUUUAAGGGGGAAGAGUAGAAGACGGUACCCCUUGAAUAAGCCACGGCUAACUACGUG
This 498-nucleotide ribosomal RNA is filed under the name uncultured Oscillibacter sp. RNAcentral describes it as "bacterial SSU rRNA". It matches the Rfam family "Bacterial small subunit ribosomal RNA", at positions 1 to 507 of the family's 1533-position model. The record is from RNAcentral. Lineage: Bacteria; Bacillati; Bacillota; Clostridia; Eubacteriales; Oscillospiraceae.